UUUAGCGCGGUGGUCCCACCUGACCCCAUGCCGAACUCAGAAGUGAAACGCCGUAGCGCCGAUGGUAGUGUGGGGUCUCCCCAUGCGAGAGUAGGGAACUGCCAGGC
RNAcentral lists this ribosomal RNA (107 nucleotides) under Pantoea agglomerans. The record is from RNAcentral. Lineage: Bacteria; Pseudomonadati; Pseudomonadota; Gammaproteobacteria; Enterobacterales; Erwiniaceae. RNAcentral also lists the same sequence under 1 other name.